Molecule: ribosomal RNA, 270 nt
Filed under: uncultured bacterium
Lineage: Bacteria
Description: partial 16S ribosomal RNA
Rfam family: Bacterial small subunit ribosomal RNA
Source: RNAcentral
CCUACGGGGGGCAGCAGUGAGGAAUAUUGGUCAAUGGGCGAGAGCCUGAACCAGCCAAGUCGCGUGAGGGAGUACUGCCCUAUGGGUUGUAAACCUCUUUUGUCGGGGAGCAAAAGCCGGACGUGUCCGUCUGUGAGAGUACCCGAAGAAAAAGCAUCGGCUGACUCCGUGCCCGCAGCCGCGGUAAUACGGAGGAUGCGAGCGUUAUCCGUAUUUAUUGGUUUUACAGGGAGCGUAGGCCGGCUUUUAAGUCAGCUGUGAAAGUCCGCG